GGUCCCAAGGGUUGGGCUGUUCGCCCAUUAAAGCGGUACGCGAGCUGGGUUCAGAACGUCGUGAGACAGUUCGGUCCCUAUCCGUCGUGGGCGUAGGAAAUUUGAGAGGAGCUGUCCUUAGUACGAGAGGACCGGGAUGGACAUACCUCUGGUGUACCAGUUGUCGUGCCAACGGCAUAGCUGGGUAGCUAUGUGUGGACGGGAUAAGUGCUGAAAGCAUCUAAGCACGAAGCCCCCCUCAAGAUGAGAUUUCCCAACUUCGGUUAUAAGACCCCUCAAAGAUGAUGAGGUUAAUAGGUUCGAGGUGGAAGCAUGGUGACAUGUGGAGCUGACGAAUACUAAUCGAUCGAAGACUUAAUCAA
This 362-nucleotide ribosomal RNA is filed under the name Staphylococcus aureus. RNAcentral describes it as "partial 23S ribosomal RNA". It matches the Rfam family "Bacterial large subunit ribosomal RNA", at positions 2561 to 2925 of the family's 2925-position model. The record is from RNAcentral. Lineage: Bacteria; Bacillati; Bacillota; Bacilli; Caryophanales; Staphylococcaceae.